RNAcentral lists this ribosomal RNA (421 nucleotides) under uncultured archaeon. RNAcentral describes it as "bacterial SSU rRNA". It matches the Rfam family "Archaeal small subunit ribosomal RNA", at positions 89 to 511 of the family's 1478-position model. The record is from RNAcentral.
CUCAGUAACACGUGGAUAACCUGCCCUUAGGACUGGCAUAACCCCGGGAAACUGGGGAUAAUUCCGGAUAGUUCAUGGUAGCUGGAAUGCUCCAUGAUCGAAAGCUAUUGCGCCUAAGGAUGGGUCUGCGGUCUAUCAGGUAGUAGUGGGUGUAAUGUACCUACUAGCCGACGACGGAUACGGGUUGUGGGAGCAAGAGCCCGGAGAUGGAUUCUGAGACAUGAAUCCAGGCCCUACGGGGCGCAGCAGGCGCGAGAACUUUACAAUGCGGGAAACCGCGAUAAGGGGACACCGAGUGCCAGCAUCUUAUGUUGGCUGUCCGCAUGUAUAAAUCACAUGUGUUAGCAAGGGCCGGGCAAGACCGGUGCCAGCCGCCGCGGUAACACCGGCGGCCCGAGUGGUGGCCACUAUUAUUGGGUCU